GACGAACGCUGGCGGCGUGCCUAACACAUGCAAGUCGAGCGGGGAGAUUGCCUUCGGGUGAUCUUCUAGCGGCGGACGGGUGAGUAACGCGUGAGCAACCUUUCCUCUACUGGGGGAAUAACACCGGGAAACUGGUACUAAUACCGCAUGAGACCACAGCAUCGCAUGGUGCAGGGGUCAAAGAUUUAUCGGUAGAGGGUGGCCUCGCGUCUGAUUAGCUAGUUGGUGGGGUAACGGCCCACCAAGGCGACGAUCAGUAGCCGGACUGAGAGGUUGACCGGCCACAUUGGGACUGAGAUACGGCCCAGACUCCUACGGGAGGCAGCAGUGGGGAAUAUUGGGCAAUGGGCGAAAGCCUGACCCAGCAACGCCGCGUGAAGGAAGAAGGCCUUCGGGUUGUAAACUUCUUUUACCAGGGACGAACACAAUGACGGUACCUGGAGAAAAAGCAACGGCUAACUACGUG
RNAcentral lists this ribosomal RNA (466 nucleotides) under uncultured bacterium. Its description in RNAcentral is "bacterial SSU rRNA". It matches the Rfam family "Bacterial small subunit ribosomal RNA", at positions 28 to 507 of the family's 1533-position model. The record is from RNAcentral.